AUACGAAAGGGGCUAGCGUUGUUCGGAAUUACUGGGCGUAAAGCGCACGUAGGCGGCAUUGUAAGUUGGGGGUGAAAUCCCGGAGCUCAACUCCGGAACUGCCUCCAAAACUACAAAGCUCGAGGAUGUGAGAGGAGAGUGGAAUUCCAAGUGUAGAGGUGAAAUUCGUAGAUAUUUGGAAGAACACCAGUGGCGAAGGCGACUCUCUGGCACAUUUCUGACGCUGAGGUGCGAAAGCGUGGGGAGCAAACAGGAUUAGAUACCCUAGUAGUCC
Molecule: ribosomal RNA, 274 nt
Filed under: uncultured bacterium
Lineage: Bacteria
Description: partial 16S ribosomal RNA
Rfam family: Bacterial small subunit ribosomal RNA
Source: RNAcentral